GAGUUUGAUCCUGGCUCAGAGUGAACGCUGGCGGCGUGCCUAAUACAUGCAAGUCGAACGAUGAAGCUUCUAGCUUGCUAGAAGUGGAUUAGUGGCGCACGGGUGAGUAAUGCAUAGGUAACAUGCCCCUUAGUCUGGGAUAGCCACUGGAAACGGUGAUUAAUACUAGAUACUCCCUACGGGGGAAAGUUUUUCGCUAAGGGAUUGGCCUAUGUCCUAUCAGCUUGUUGGUGAGGUAAUGGCUCACCAAGGCUAUGACGGGUAUCCGGCCUGAGAGGGUGAUCGGACACACUGGAACUGAGACACGGUCCAGACUCCUACGGGAGGCAGCAGUAGGGAAUAUUGCUCAAUGGGGGAAACCCUGAAGCAGCAACGCCGCGUGGAGGAUGAAGGUUUUCGGAUUGUAAACUCCUUUUGUUAGAGAAGAUAAUGACGGUAUCUAACGAAUAAGCACCGGCUAACUCCGUGCCAGCAGCCGCGGUAAUACGGAGGGUGCAAGCGUUACUCGGAAUCACUGGGCGUAAAGAGCGCGUAGGCGGGGUAGUAAGUCAGAUGUGAAAUCCUAUGGCUUAACCAUAGAACUGCAUUUGAAACUACUACUCUAGAGUAUGGGAGAGGUAGGUGGAAUUCUUGGUGUAGGGGUAAAAUCCGUAGAGAUCAAGAGGAAUACUCAUUGCGAAGGCGACCUGCUGGAACAUUACUGACGCUGAUGCGCGAAAGCUGGGGAGCAAACAGGAUUAGAUACCCUGGUAGUCCACGCCCUAAACGAUGAAUGCUAGUUGUUGUGAGGCUUGUCCUUGCAGUAAUGCAGCUAACGCAUUAAGCAUUCCGCCUGGGGAGUACGGUCGCAAGAUUAAAACUCAAAGGAAUAGACGGGGACCCGCACAAGCGGUGGAGCAUGUGGUUUAAUUCGAAGAUACGCGAAGAACCUUACCUAGGCUUGACAUUGAUAGAAUCUGCUAGAGAUAGCGGAGUGCUGGCUUGCCAGAGCUUGAAAACAGGUGCUGCACGGCUGUCGUCAGCUCGUGUCGUGAGAUGUUGGGUUAAGUCCCGCAACGAGCGCAACCCUCGUCCUUAGUUGCUAGCAGUUCGGCUGAGCACUCUAAGGAGACUGCCUUCGUAAGGAGGAGGAAGGUGAGGAUGACGUCAAGUCAUCAUGGCCCUUACGCCUAGGGCUACACACGUGCUACAAUGGGGUGUACAAAGAGAAGCAAUACUGUGAAGUGGAGCCAAUCUCUAAAACAUCUCUCAGUUCGGAUUGUAGUCUGCAACUCGACUACAUGAAGCUGGAAUCGCUAGUAAUCGCAAAUCAGCCAUGUUGCGGUGAAUACGUUCCCGGGUCUUGUACUCACCGCCCGUCACACCAUGGGAGUUGUAUUCGCCUUAAGUCGGAAUACUAAACUAGUUANNNNCCACGGCGGAUGCAGC
Molecule: ribosomal RNA, 1428 nt
Filed under: Helicobacter pullorum
Lineage: Bacteria; Pseudomonadati; Campylobacterota; Epsilonproteobacteria; Campylobacterales; Helicobacteraceae
Description: bacterial SSU rRNA
Rfam family: Bacterial small subunit ribosomal RNA
Source: RNAcentral